AGCAAAAUUGUUGAAUUAUAGGGUAAGGGUAUGUUUAUUUUUGUAAGAAACCAAUAAACUCUCUUCCAAAGUAACUAAACCAUUUUACAGUCUCUCUAGCAUU
RNAcentral lists this microRNA precursor (103 nucleotides) under Marmota monax (woodchuck). The record is from RNAcentral. Lineage: Eukaryota; Metazoa; Chordata; Mammalia; Rodentia; Sciuridae.